GAUGAACGCUGGCGGCGUGCCUAAUACAUGCAAGUCGAGCGAACGGACGCGAAGCUUGCUUCUCUGAUGUUAGCGGCGGACGGGUGAGUAACACGUGGAUAACCUACCUAUCAGACUGGGAUAACUUCGGGAAACCGGAGCUAAUACCGGAUAAUAUUUUGAACCGCAUGGUUCAAAAGUGAAUGACGGUCUUGCUGUCACUUAUCGAUGGAUCCGCGCUGCAUUAGCUAGUUGGUAAGGUAACGGCUUACCAAGGCAACGAUGCAUAGCCGACCUGAGAGGGUGAUCGGCGACACUGGAACUGAGACACGGUCCAGACUCCUACGGGAGGCAGCAGUAGGGAAUCUUCCGCAAUGGGCGAAAGCCUGACGGAGCAACGCCGCGUGAGUGAUGAAGGUCUUCGGAUCGUAAAACUCUGUUAUUAGGGAAGAACAUAUGUGUAAGUAACUGUGCACAUCUUGACGGUACCUAAUCAGAAAGCCACGGCUAACUACGUG
Molecule: ribosomal RNA, 497 nt
Filed under: uncultured bacterium
Lineage: Bacteria
Description: partial 16S ribosomal RNA
Rfam family: Bacterial small subunit ribosomal RNA
Source: RNAcentral